Molecule: ribosomal RNA, 523 nt
Filed under: uncultured bacterium
Lineage: Bacteria
Description: partial 16S ribosomal RNA
Rfam family: Bacterial small subunit ribosomal RNA
Source: RNAcentral
UGGGGAAUUUUGGACAAUGGGCGAAAGCCUGAUCCAGCAAUGCCGCGUGUGUGAAGAAGGCCUUCGGGUUGUAAAGCACUUUUGUCCGGAAAGGAAUGGCUCUGGUUAAUACCUGGGGUCGAUGACGGUACCGGAAGAAUAAGGACCGGCUAACUACGUGCCAGCAGCCGCGGUAAUACGUAGGGUCCAAGCGUUAAUCGGAAUUACUGGGCGUAAAGCGUGCGCAGGCGGUUGUGCAAGACCGAUGUGAAAUCCCCGAGCUUAACUUGGGAAUUGCAUUGGUGACUGCACGGCUAGAGUGUGUCAGAGGGGGGUAGAAUUCCACGUGUAGCAGUGAAAUGCGUAGAGAUGUGGAGGAAUACCGAUGGCGAAGGCAGCCCCCUGGGAUAACACUGACGCUCAUGCACGAAAGCGUGGGGAGCAAACAGGAUUAGAUACCCUGGUAGUCCACGCCCUAAACGAUGUCAACUAGUUGUUGGGGAUUCAUUUCCUUAGUAACGUAGCUAACGCGUGAAGUUGACCG